UUUAGUGUCGGCGAUGGAGUUCGCCGUUAACUGUCCUUUUAAGUGGCUGAUGACUCCUACCACCCC
This 66-nucleotide non-coding RNA is filed under the name Nitrospirota bacterium. Its description in RNAcentral is "Nitrospirae bacterium Fluoride sequence". It matches the Rfam family "Fluoride riboswitch aptamer (crcB RNA motif)". The record is from RNAcentral. Lineage: Bacteria; Pseudomonadati; Nitrospirota.